This 158-nucleotide ribosomal RNA is filed under the name Leptodiscella africana. RNAcentral describes it as "5.8S ribosomal RNA". It matches the Rfam family "5.8S ribosomal RNA". Rfam says of the family: 5.8S ribosomal RNA (5.8S rRNA) is a component of the large subunit of the eukaryotic ribosome. It is transcribed by RNA polymerase I as part of the 45S precursor that also contains 18S and 28S rRNA. Lineage: Eukaryota; Fungi; Ascomycota; Dothideomycetes; Muyocopronales. The record is from RNAcentral.
CAACUUUUAACAAUGGAUCUCUUGGCUCUGGCAUCGAUGAAGAACGCAGCGAAAUGCGAUAACUAGUGUGAAUUGCAGAUUUCAGUGAAUCAUCGAGUUUUUGAACGCACAUUGCGCUCCUUGGUAUUCCUCGGAGCAUGCCUAUUCGAGCGUCGUUU